Long non-coding RNA from Syngnathus acus (greater pipefish), 441 nucleotides. RefSeq lists it as uncharacterized. The transcript is spliced from 3 exons. The record is from RefSeq and is a predicted model, not a curated record. Lineage: Eukaryota; Metazoa; Chordata; Actinopteri; Syngnathiformes; Syngnathidae.
UACAAUGUUCCUUGCGUACUUGCUCAUUCACAUUUUUUCAUGUGUUCAAUAAAUAACAAAAUCAAAAAAAACUAUUUCUUUACAUUCAGAGUACACGUUCAUGUACACAGAAUAUUUAGACGAGCUGUACGAGCAGUACGCAGGGCAGCAAGUUGAGUAGGCACGUUCAUUUGGAAUGCGAUAGUAACUAGUGCAAGUAUGUAGUGUUUUUUUCUGUUGCAGGAAAAAUGCAUGUGCAUCGCUGGAAUUGCUUGGAAUCCUCAAUAAAGUGGUUAAAAUGUAAUUGUUGAGCGGAGACUGCUCAAGGAACUUCAUAAAAGGUCCCAACAUUUCAAAUCUCUGCAACAUGCUGCUACCUGGUGGCAAAUCUUUGACAUGGAGAACAUUGGAACGGAUGAUGGAGCACACAGAAGUUGACGGUAUUACACGACUGUGCAUACA